This 433-nucleotide ribosomal RNA is filed under the name uncultured bacterium. RNAcentral describes it as "partial 16S ribosomal RNA". It matches the Rfam family "Bacterial small subunit ribosomal RNA", at positions 29 to 507 of the family's 1533-position model. The record is from RNAcentral.
AACGAACGCUGGCGGCAUGCCUAACACAUGCAAGUCGAACGAGACCUUCGGGUCUAGUGGCGCACGGGUGCGUAACGCGUGGGAACCUGCCCUUAGGUUCGGAAUAACUCCCCGAAAGGGGUGCUAAUACCGGAUAAUGUCUUCGGACCAAAGAUUUAUCGCCUUUGGAUGGGCCCGCGUUGGAUUAGCUAGUUGGUAGGGUAAAAGCCUAUCAAGGCGACGAUCCAUAGCUGGUCUGAGAGGAUGAUCAGCCACACUGGGACUGAGACACGGCCCAGACUCCUACGGGAGGCAGCAGUGGGGAAUAUUGGACAAUGGGCGAAAGCCUGAUCCAGCAAUGCCGCGUGAGUGAUGAAGGCCUUAGGGUUGUAAAGCUCUUUUACCCGGGAUGAUAAUGACGGUACCGGGAGAAUAAGCUCCGGCUAACUCCGUG